This 393-nucleotide ribosomal RNA is filed under the name uncultured crenarchaeote. Its description in RNAcentral is "bacterial SSU rRNA". It matches the Rfam family "Archaeal small subunit ribosomal RNA", at positions 268 to 664 of the family's 1478-position model. The record is from RNAcentral. Lineage: Archaea; Thermoproteati; Thermoproteota.
GCGGGCCGUGAGAGCGGGAGCCCGGAGAUGGGCACUGAGACAAGGGCCCAGGCCCUACGGGGCGCAGCAGUCGCGAAAACUUUGCAAUAAGCGAAAGCUUGACAGGGCUAUCCCGAGUGCCAUCCGCUGAGGAAGGCUUUUACCCAGUCUAGAACGCUGGGGGAAUAAGGAGAGGGCAAGUCUGGUGUCAGCCGCCGCGGUAAUACCAGCUCUCCGAGUGGUGUGGAUGUUUAUUGGGCCUAAAGCAUCCGUAGCUGGCUAGGUAAGUCCCUUGUUAAAUCCACCGAAUUAAUCGUUGGAUCGCGGGGGAUACUGCUUGGCUAGGGGACGAGAGAGGCAGACGGUAUUCUCGGGGUAGGGGUGAAAUCCUAUAAUCCCGGGAAGACCACCAGU